Non-coding RNA from Castor canadensis (American beaver), 1519 nucleotides. The record is from RefSeq and is a predicted model, not a curated record. NCBI's taxonomy places the organism in Eukaryota, Metazoa, Chordata, Mammalia, Rodentia, Castoridae.
CAUGUCACCUCCUGGGAAAGGAGCCCGGAAGGAAAACCUGGGGCUCCAGUGUGAGUGGGGGUCCUGUUCCUUUGUGUGCUCGGCCAUGGAAGAGUUCUGUGAGCACGUCACUCAGCUCCUACAGCAUAUGCGUGGGCCUAGGGAGGAGGAGGAAAAGGAGGAGGACGAUGACCCACUUGAGGAAGAAAUCUCCUGCUUAUGGCAAGAAUGUGGCUUUUGCUCUCUGGACAGCUCUGCUGACCUCAUCCGCCAUGUCUACUUCCACUGCCACCACACCAAGCUGAAGCAGUGGGGGCUACAGGCCUUGCAAAGUCAGGCUGACCUAAGCUCCUGCAUCCUGGACUUCCAGAGCCGGAAUGUCAUCCCUGACAUCCCUGACCACUUCCUGUGUCUGUGGGAACACUGUGAGAGCUCCUUCGACAAUCCCGAGUGGUUCUAUCGGCACGUGGAAGCACACAGUCUGUGCUGUGAAUACCAAACGGUCGGCAAGGACAACCGUGUGGUGCUGUGUGACUGGAAAGGCUGUACCUGCACCUUCAAGGACCGCUACAAGCUUCGAGAGCACCUCCGCAGCCACACCCAGGAGAAGGUGGUGGCCUGUCCCACCUGCGGGGGCAUGUUUGCCAACAACACCAAGUUCUUUGAUCCCAUCCCAUCCGGCGCCAGACCUCAUUGGAUCAGCAGCGUUUCCAGUGUUCUCACUGUUCCAAGAGAUUUGCCACGGAGCGGCUACUGCGAGACCACAUGCGCAAUCAUGUGAAUCACUAUAAAUGCCCUCUGUGUGACAUGACUUGCCCGCUGCCUUCCUCCCUACGUACGCAACCACAUGCGUUUUCUCCACAGCGAGGACCGGCCCUUUAAAUGUGACUGUUGUGACUACAGCUGCAAGAAUCUGAUUGACCUCCGGAAGCACCUGGCCACCCACAGCAAGGAGUCAGCCUACAGGUGUGAUUUUGAAAACUGCAGCUUCAGUGCUCGGUCGAUGAGCUCCAUCAAGUUCCAUUACCGCAAAGUGCAUGAAGGAGACUCAGAGCCAAGGUACAAAUGUCAUGUGUGUGACAAAUGCUUCACACGUGGCAACAACCUCACUGUGCACCUUCGCAAGAAGCACCAGUUCAAGUGGCCCUCAGGACAUCCCCGUUUUCGGUACAAGGAGCAUGAAGAUGGCUACAUGCGACUGCAACUGGUUCGCUAUGAGAGUGUGGAGCUGACACAGCAGCUGCUGCGGCAGCCACAGGAGGGAUCAGACCUGGGAGUGACACUGAAUCAGAGCAGCCUGCAGGGCAUCAUUCUAGAAACAGUGCUGGGGGAACAAGGACCUGAGGAAGAGGUAGAAGAGGAGGAUGAGGGUGCUGAGGGACCAGCCCUCUCAGCCUCUCAGGACAACCCCAGCCCUGUCAUCCACAUGGUGAAUCAGACCAAUGCCCAAGGCCAGAGAGAGAUUGUCUACUAUGUGCUGUCUGAAGCCCCAGGAGAGCCUCCCCCAGCCACUGAGGAGCCGGAGGUUCAGACUGUGUGA